AUCUAAGAGCCGUGAAGCCUCCGCCUUCGCAGAGAAUCCACAGCACAACUCACCACUUGGAACGGGCAGGCCAGUAGAGAGCAACCCAAGCCCAGCCUUCAGGGCAAGCCCAACUGUUCCACCAUCUCAAAGCUCCCACUCGGGUUACAGGCUCGCGCUACCAAGCCCAGCAAGCGAUUCUUCUAGCUAGGCACUUAUUAAGAGAAAAUAUUUCUCAUCAGUUUUCGAUGUGGGAAAUUGUGCGAGAGCUUGUUUGGGGAAAAAUGGAGCAGACAACUAUCGUGUACUCAUGGUUUUUGCGUUGUAUCAUUGUUCACCAAAAACUUAGAAAUGAAUUGAAGUUGCAGCGGCGGUUCGUAUACACUGGUUGUGGUCGGGAAAUGGUGACGGUAGGAGAUGAGGAAACAGCUAGCGGAGGCAUUAUUUGGAAGCAUUGGCUUCCAAGUUCUGGUGCAAGCAAGCUGUGAAACAACUGAUUGCAGAUAAAAUGAGCUCCUAUAUAUCAAUUGCUUUGGCUGUAUACAACCAUAUAUGCUGCACUGAUAGCUACUGGAGGAGUAAAACUUAUUCUCUGGAUUUAUCGCAGAAGCUGUGAGGAGGAAAUUGUAUGAUUUUUGUUGAAGGGGGGCUUAUAUGUGAAGCAGAGAUGGGUUCUGCUGGCAGCAUCCAAUCACACCCUAUAAGCUUUGCUUCAUGAAUUCAUUUCCAUCUCACAUUAUUUUCAUACGUUUUUAUUAUUUAGUUUAAAUUGUGCCAGCUGAAGUUUUAGAUAUGAAUUGAAGUUGCAGUGGCGGGUUUGUAUUGGCUGGUUCUGGUUGGAAAAUGGUGAACAAAGCACAGAUCAACUGCAUAGCCAACAACUUCCACUUUUUUCUUUAAAAAUUCAAGAUAAAAUUUGUAUAUUUUGCUUUGAAUGUGCUCAGUUCUGAAGCCAGUGGAAGAGUCGAGAUAUAGCUCUGAGACAGGUUAUCUAAUUAAUCAUCUAAACAGGGCAAAGUUGGUAAUUGAGGAGAUUGAGAGAGAAGAAGCAUCUUUGCGUGAAGAUUUAUAUUCAUCGGACAGAAAAUUUGCAGAAUAUUACAAUAUACUUGGAGUGCGUAUCAAGCUUGGCAAUGAAAAGUAUGAUAAACAUCUACAAAUACCCAA
Long non-coding RNA from Ipomoea triloba (trilobed morning glory), 1146 nucleotides. RefSeq lists it as uncharacterized. The transcript is spliced from 4 exons. The record is from RefSeq and is a predicted model, not a curated record. NCBI's taxonomy places the organism in Eukaryota, Viridiplantae, Streptophyta, Magnoliopsida, Solanales, Convolvulaceae.